UACGUAGGGUGCAAGCGUUGUCCGGAAUUAUUGGGCGUAAAGAGCUCGUAGGCGGUUUGUCGCGUCUGCUGUGAAAACUCGGGGCUUAACUCCGGGCCUGCAGUGGGUACGGGCAGACUAGAGUGCGGUAGGGGAGACUGGAAUUCCUGGUGUAGCGGUGAAAUGCGCAGAUAUCAGGAAGAACACCCGUGGCGAAGGCGGUUCUCUGGGCAUGUCCUGACGCUGAGGAGCGAAAGUGUGGGGAGCGAACAGG
This 253-nucleotide ribosomal RNA is filed under the name uncultured bacterium. Its description in RNAcentral is "partial 16S ribosomal RNA". It matches the Rfam family "Bacterial small subunit ribosomal RNA", at positions 524 to 776 of the family's 1533-position model. The record is from RNAcentral.